ACCCUGAUGUUGGGGUUACACUAGACCUGAUGAGUUGCGAACGGGUGAGUAACGCAUAGGUAACCUGCCUCAUAGCGGGGGAUAACUAUUGGAAACGAUAGCUAAUACCGCAUAAGAGUGAUUAACACAUGUUAGUUAUUUAAAAGGAGCAAUUGCUUCACUGUGAGAUGGACCUGCGUUGUAUUAGCUAGUUGGUGAGGUAAAGGCUCACCAAGGCGACGAUACAUAGCCGACCUGAGAGGGUGAUCGGCCACACUGGGACUGAGACACGGCCCAGACUCCUACGGGAGGCAGCAGUAGGGAAUCUUCGGCAAUGGACGGAAGUCUGACCGAGCAACGCCGCGUGAGUGAAGAAGGUUUUCGGAUCGUAAAGCUCUGUUGUUAGAGAAGAACGUUGGUAGGAGUGGAAAAUCUACCAAGUGACGGUAACUAACCAGAAAGGGACGGCUAACUACGUGCCAGCAGCCGCGGUAAUACGUAGGUCCCGAGCGUUGUCCGGAUUUAUUGGGCGUAAAGCGAGCGCAGGCGGUUCUUUAAGUCUGAAGUUAAAGGCAGUGGCUUAACCAUUGUACGCUUUGGAAACUGGAGGACUUGAGUGCAGAAGGGGAGAGUGGAAUUCCAUGUGUAGCGGUGAAAUGCGUAGAUAUAUGGAGGAACACCGGUGGCGAAAGCGGCUCUCUGGUCUGUAACUGACGCUGAGGCUCGAAAGCGUGGGGAGCAAACAGGAUUAGAUACCCUGGUAGUCCACGCCGUAAACGAUGAGUGCUAGGUGUUAGGCCCUUUCCGGGGCUUAGUGCCGCAGCUAACGCAUUAAGCACUCCGCCUGGGGAGUACGACCGC
Molecule: ribosomal RNA, 840 nt
Filed under: uncultured Streptococcaceae bacterium
Lineage: Bacteria; Bacillati; Bacillota; Bacilli; Lactobacillales; Streptococcaceae
Description: bacterial SSU rRNA
Rfam family: Bacterial small subunit ribosomal RNA
Source: RNAcentral